Molecule: ribosomal RNA, 499 nt
Filed under: uncultured bacterium
Lineage: Bacteria
Description: partial 16S ribosomal RNA
Rfam family: Bacterial small subunit ribosomal RNA
Source: RNAcentral
GACGAACGCUGGCGGCGUGCCUAAUACAUGCAAGUCGAGCGGACGGAAUGGGAGCUUGCUCUUGUUCGGUCAGCGGCGGACGGGUGAGUAACACGUGGGCAACCUGCCCGCAAGACCGGGAUAACUCCGGGAAACCGGAGCUAAUACCGGAUAACACCGACGACCGCAUGGUCCUUGGGUGAAAGGCGGCGCAGGCUGCCACUUGCGGAUGGGCCCGCGGCGCAUUUGAUAGUUGGGGAGGGAACGGCACCCCCAGGCGACGAGGCGGAGCCGGCAUGAGAGGGUUGACGGCCACCCCUGGACCGGGGACCCGCCCAGGCUCCUUCGGGGGGCCGCCGUAGGGGAUCUUCCGCAAUGGGCCGAAGCCUGGCGGCGCGACGCCGCGUGGGCGGAGGAGGCCCUCGGGUCGUUAAGCUCUGUUGUGUUGGACGAAGGGGCGCCGUUUGAAGACGUCGGCGCGGUGACGGUACCUCACGAGGAAGCCCCGGCUAACUACGUG